UACAGUCAUAUCACAUUGAAACACAAGUUCUCGUACUAUUACCGAAGUUAAGCAACAUCGAACCUACUCAGUACCUAGAUGGGUGACCGCUUAGGAAUAUCAGGUGUAGUAGG
Molecule: non-coding RNA, 113 nt
Organism: Acanthosepion pharaonis
Lineage: Eukaryota; Metazoa; Mollusca; Cephalopoda; Sepiida; Sepiidae
Source: the annotation of a GenBank genome assembly